GAUGAACGCUGGCGGCGUGCUUAACACAUGCAAGUCGAACGGAAAGGCCUGUACUUGUACAGGUACUCGAGUGGCGAACGGGUGAGUAACACGUGGGUGAUCUGCCCUGCACUGUGGGAUAAGCCCGGGAAACUGGGUCUAAUACCAUAUAGGACCACUUCAUGGAUGUUGUGGUGUAAAGCUUUUGCGGUGUGGGAUGAGCAUGCGGCCUAUAAGCUUGUUGGUGGGGUAAUGGCCUACCAAGGGGGCGACGGGUAUCCGGCCUGAGAGGGUGUACGGACACAUUGGGACUGAGAUACGGCCCAGACUGCUACGGGAGGCAGCAGUGGGGAAUAUUGCACAAUGGGCGCAAGCCUGAUGCAGCGACGCCGCGUGGGGGAUGACGGCCUUCGGGUUGUAAACCCCUUUCGCUAUCGACGAAGCCACCUUGGGUGGUGACGGUAGGUAGAUAAGAAGCACCAGCUAACUACGUGCCAGCCGCCGCGGUAA
This 489-nucleotide ribosomal RNA is filed under the name uncultured bacterium. Its description in RNAcentral is "partial 16S ribosomal RNA". It matches the Rfam family "Bacterial small subunit ribosomal RNA", at positions 28 to 523 of the family's 1533-position model. The record is from RNAcentral.